GACGAACGCUGGCGGCAGGCUUAACACAUGCAAGUCGAGCGCCCCGCAAGGGGAGCGGCGGACGGGUGAGUAACGCGUGGGAAUCUGCCCUUUGGUGUGGGACAACCACGGGAAACUGUGGCUAAUACCGCAUGAGCCCGAGAGGGGAAAGCCGCAAGGCGCCGAGGGAUGAGCCCGCGUCGGAUUAGCUAGUUGGUAGGGUAACGGCCUACCAAGGCGAUGAUCCGUAGCUGGUCGAGAGGAUGAUCAGCCACACUGGGACUGAGACACGGCCCAGACUCCUACGGGAGGCAGCAGUGGGGAAUAUUGGACAAUGGGGGAAACCCUGAUCCAGCCAUGCCGCGUGAGUGAUGAAGGCCUUCGGUUG
RNAcentral lists this ribosomal RNA (367 nucleotides) under uncultured bacterium. Its description in RNAcentral is "bacterial SSU rRNA". It matches the Rfam family "Bacterial small subunit ribosomal RNA", at positions 28 to 425 of the family's 1533-position model. The record is from RNAcentral.